GCCGAUAUGGCGGGCAGCGGGAAAAGAAUUCACGGACUCCUAACAGGAUCGUGAAAGGUCAACGGAUGAUGUAAAAGGCUCAUAGCAGUGCUCCUUUGCCCCAUGGCGCACACCAUCAGUGUGGAAGAGGAGGGAUUCCAGACACUUCCAGUUGUCCUUCACUUGACGUCAUGCUUCAGUGUUGCGAUGCAAAUGAUUUCAAGCACAUUAGAGUAAGUGGACACCUUGGAACAUCAGGUCUAGCGCUCCACACCCUUCCUCCUCAAGACAUUUUGUUAAGAGACCUUCGUC
This 291-nucleotide long non-coding RNA is filed under the name Scleropages formosus (Asian bonytongue). RNAcentral's name for it is "lncRNA (ENSSFOG00015025977.1)". Lineage: Eukaryota; Metazoa; Chordata; Actinopteri; Osteoglossiformes; Osteoglossidae. The record is from RNAcentral.